RNAcentral lists this ribosomal RNA (541 nucleotides) under Microbacterium sp. MM31. RNAcentral's name for it is "bacterial SSU rRNA". It matches the Rfam family "Bacterial small subunit ribosomal RNA", at positions 119 to 674 of the family's 1533-position model. RNAcentral also lists the same sequence under 4 other names. The record is from RNAcentral. Lineage: Bacteria; Bacillati; Actinomycetota; Actinomycetes; Micrococcales; Microbacteriaceae.
GAGCAACCUGCCCUGGACUCUGGGAUAAGCGCUGGAAACGGCGUCUAAUACUGGAUAUGAGCCCCUAUCGCAUGGUGGGGGUUGGAAAGAUUUUUUGGUCUGGGAUGGGCUCGCGGCCUAUCAGCUUGUUGGUGAGGUAAUGGCUCACCAAGGCGUCGACGGGUAGCCGGCCUGAGAGGGUGACCGGCCACACUGGGACUGAGACACGGCCCAGACUCCUACGGGAGGCAGCAGUGGGGAAUAUUGCACAAUGGGCGAAAGCCUGAUGCAGCAACGCCGCGUGAGGGAUGACGGCCUUCGGGUUGUAAACCUCUUUUAGCAGGGAAGAAGCGAAAGUGACGGUACCUGCAGAAAAAGCGCCGGCUAACUACGUGCCAGCAGCCGCGGUAAUACGUAGGGCGCAAGCGUUAUCCGGAAUUAUUGGGCGUAAAGAGCUCGUAGGCGGUUUGUCGCGUCUGCUGUGAAAUCCCGAGGCUCAACCUCGGGCCUGCAGUGGGUACGGGCAGACUAGAGUGCGGUAGGGGAGAUUGGAAUUCCUGGU